GUCCUUUUGGCUAUAAUUUAAGGUCUAACCUGCCCACUGAAAUUUUAAAUGGCCGUGGUAUUUUGACCGUGCUAAGGUAGCAUAAUCAUUAGUUUUCUAAUUAAAAACUGGAAUGAAAGGUUGGAUAAGAAAAUAACUGUCUCUAUUAAAUUUAAUUAGAAUUUUAUUUUUAAGUUAAAAAGCUUAAAUAAAAUUAAAAGACGAGAAGACCCUAUAGAGUUUAAUUAUCUGAUAAAAAUUAUAUUUUAGUAUUAUUUUAUUUAAUUUAUUUGAUAAUUUAAUUGGGGUGAUUGAAAAAUUUAAUUAACUUUUUUUAUUUAAGUUCAUUAAUUUAUGAAUAAAUGAUCCAAUAUUUUUGAUUAUAAGAUUAAAUUACCUUAGGGAUAACAGCGUAAUUUUUUUAGAAAGUUCACAUUAAAAAAAAAGAUUGCGACCUCGAUGUUGGAUUAAAAUAAAUUUUUGGUGUAGAAGCUAAAAUAUUAGGUCUGUUCGACCUUUAAAAUUUUAC
This 508-nucleotide ribosomal RNA is filed under the name Chrysolina timarchoides. RNAcentral's name for it is "partial 16S ribosomal RNA". The stretch from base 383 to 508 matches the Rfam family "Bacterial large subunit ribosomal RNA", at positions 2473 to 2599 of the family's 2925-position model. Lineage: Eukaryota; Metazoa; Arthropoda; Insecta; Coleoptera; Chrysomelidae. The record is from RNAcentral.